UACGAAGGGGGCUAGCGUUGCUCGGAAUUACUGGGCGUAAAGGGCGCGUAGGCGGAUAGUUUAGUCAGAGGUGAAAGCCCAGGGCUCAACCUUGGAAUUGCCUUUGAUACUGGCUAUCUUGAGUUCGGGAGAGGUGAGUGGAAUGCCGAGUGUAGAGGUGAAAUUCGUAGAUAUUCGGCGGAACACCAGUGGCGAAGGCGACUCACUGGCCCGAUACUGACGCUGAGGCGCGAAAGUGUGGGGAUCAAACAGG
This 253-nucleotide ribosomal RNA is filed under the name uncultured bacterium. RNAcentral's name for it is "partial 16S ribosomal RNA". It matches the Rfam family "Bacterial small subunit ribosomal RNA", at positions 524 to 776 of the family's 1533-position model. The record is from RNAcentral.